Molecule: long non-coding RNA, 575 nt
Organism: Octopus bimaculoides (California two-spot octopus)
Lineage: Eukaryota; Metazoa; Mollusca; Cephalopoda; Octopoda; Octopodidae
Source: RefSeq, a predicted model, not a curated record
CACUAUUGUUACUAUGUCAAAAACAUAAACCAUCUUAUCCAUAAGUUUACUGUUGAUGAUUUUUAUGUUUCAAAUACUACGACAAAUUUCUAACCUUGAACAAAGUCAACUGAUUUUCUUUUUAAGCAACUUUAUUGCACGUAAGAACUUAUAUUUGGCGUAUGUUAUGUAUAAAUGGAGUUAAUUCAGACAGAGAAGAUGGCAGAAAAUAACGGAAGUUUGACACAUUACAUUGGAAUUUCAAAUCAGAAUUUUCUCGCGGCGUUACUUCACCUGCUUUUGUAAUUAAAAAAGUGAAGGAAAGACAGGUUCAUCAGGAUUAUGAAGAAAAUGAGAAUGGAGGUGAAGACGAUGAUGUUGCUUAUGAUGAUGUUGAUGAUGAUGAUGACGAUGAUGAUGAUGACCACGAUGACGACGGCGACGGCGACGACGACGACGAAGGCGACGACAGCAAUGAUGAUGAUGUUGAAGAUGACGACGAUGACGUUGGUAAUGGUGAUAACAAUGGUGCAGUGUGUGGUAGUGACAGUACUUAUAUGAUGCUAUACGAAUUAAAGAUCACAUAAAAUCAUGAA